RNAcentral lists this ribosomal RNA (429 nucleotides) under uncultured archaeon. RNAcentral's name for it is "bacterial SSU rRNA". It matches the Rfam family "Archaeal small subunit ribosomal RNA", at positions 474 to 903 of the family's 1478-position model. The record is from RNAcentral.
UACCAGCUCUCCGAGUGGUAGGGAUGAUUAUUGGGCUUAAAGCGUCCGUAGCCGGCUUAGCAAGUCUCCUGUUAAAUUCAGCGACCUAAUCGUUGAGCCGCGGGAGAUACUACUAGGCUAGGAGGCGGGAGAGGUCGACGGUACUUUCGGGGUAGGGGUGAAAUCCUAUAAUCCCGGGAGGACCACCAGUGGCGAAGGCUGUCGACUAGAACGCGCUCGACGGUGAGGGGCGAAAGCUGGGGUAGCGAACCGGAUUAGAUACCCGGGUAGUCCCAGCUGUAAACGAUGCGAGCUAGGUGUUGGGGUGGCUACGUGCCACUUCAGUGCCGCAGGGAAGCCAUUAAGCACGCCGCCUGGGGAGUACGGCCGCAAGGCUGAAACUUAAAGGAAUUGGCGGGGGAGCACCACAAGGCGUGAAGCUUGCGGUUC